UCUAAUAGGGCGCUCCGCGUUAGAAGAUCGUAAAAGCAGAAAUCAGCUGUUCCCCGGCCUCAGCAUACUCCCUGGGCGAAAAGGGAUAUGCAGAGCUGCGGGGGAGUGGUAGAUCUCCCCAGGGGCUUUGCUCUGUAGAGCGAAAUUCCUGGGUUUGAGAUCCCGCUGAGCCCCGCUGUCCUCUGACUUCAAACGGGCUCCUGCUUUGUCAGGAAAAGGGAGUAAGGGACCACUUCUGCUCAAACGGUCUUUUCAAAUGGACUGACUUCUUAAGCAGACGGGGAAAAUCACGAGCGUUCGAUCUUUGAAGUAGAAACAGCACGCAAGUAUCUUGACUUUUCCCCCUUUGAAAUUGGAAACCCUUCUUUGUCUCUGAUUAAUUGACUCUUUAAAAUGGCGUCUGAAAGUAGCUGAACUGAAUAACCGUAGAACAAAUGUCUAAGGGGCUGCCCCAAAGAAGAGGGGGGUCAACCUAUUCAACACCUGAAGGCAGGAAAGAAGCAACGGAUGGAAACUAAUCAAGGAGAGAAGCAACCUAGAACCAAGGAGGAAUUUCCUGACAGCUAGAACAAUUAAUCAGUGGAACAACUUGCCUCCAGAUGUUGCGGGUACUCCAUCACUGGAAAUUUUUAAGAAGAUGUUGGACAACUAUUUAUUCAGAAUGGUAUAGGGUCUCCUGCUUGAGCAGGGGGUUAGACUAGAAGACCUCCAAGGUCCCUUCCCACUCUGUUAUUCGGUUAAAUGUGGUUUCUCAAACCGAACUUUUGAGACACCUGUAAAAAACUAAACACUAUUCAUGAUAGCACUGUUCCUUGCUGUAGACCUAUAACCUCUCCUAAGAAAGAGCAAAUAUUUCACUAUGUAUCUCCACAAAUAACCUUCUUAAGCAGGGUUAAAGUUGAACAAAUAAAGGUAAAAUGUGAAGCAGCUGGAGUGCGUAAGGAGGAACGCUAAGCCUGAAAGAAACUUAAGACACAACAGUGUCAUAAUGGGGGGAAAAGGAAUGGGAAUUGCUUGUUAAACUCAUGCACUCAGAUAAGACACCGAAAAAGGGAAAUCCAUGCGGGAUUUUGGAGAUCUGGGGAUUACAUCUUACGGGAAAAGAACUCGUCUUGAACGCUUCUAUGACAUCCAGACGCAGAGCUGUGUUUAAAGAUGGGAAGUAAAAUACUAGCAACCUAUCCAGUGUUUCUCAACCUUGUAACUUUAAGAUGAGUGGACUUCGCCUCUCAGAAUGCAGACCUGAUUGUUUAAUGAAGGCAUUAUUCAUCCCACCCGCAAGAAUUAAUCCCAUUAAUAAGAUUGAUUGAACUAAGCGGGCAAGCAUUUAUUUUUCCAAAAUGACAGGUCACAUAUUAGGUGAAGGUAAAGGUUCUCCUCGCACAUGUGUGCUAGUCGUUCCCGACUCUAGGGGGCAGUGCUCAUCUCCGUUUCAAAGCCGAAGAGCCAGCGCUGUCCGAAGACGUCUCCGUGGUCAUGUGGCCGGCAUGACUUAACGCCAAAGGCGCACAGAACGCUGUUACCUUCCCACCAAAGCGCCGUUGUAACUUCGGUCACUAAAUGAAUAGCUGUAAGUCGAGAACUACCUGCGUUCCUGCAGGAUAGAUCGGCUAUUGAGAUGUCUUACCUCCUCCGGUCUGCCUCCCCACCACGAUGUCCCUUUCCGCGACGCCGGGAUAUCCGGUAACAAGGUAAGACCUUUGCAACGAAGGCCAACAGGCGGAAGGAUGAGCUAUGGCCCGCAACUCCCCCCACCCUCGGAUUUACCUGCUCUUCGUGCAGAAUGACCUGGCCUUGGAGGGGAUUGCCAAGGGGGGCCAGUCGCAC
Molecule: long non-coding RNA, 1827 nt
Organism: Ahaetulla prasina
Lineage: Eukaryota; Metazoa; Chordata; Lepidosauria; Squamata; Colubridae
Exons: 3
Source: RefSeq, a predicted model, not a curated record